Molecule: ribosomal RNA, 460 nt
Filed under: uncultured bacterium
Lineage: Bacteria
Description: partial 16S ribosomal RNA
Rfam family: Bacterial small subunit ribosomal RNA
Source: RNAcentral
CCUACGGGAGGCAGCAGUGAGGAAUAUUGGUCAAUGGACGAGAGUCUGAACCAGCCAAGUAGCGUGAAGGAUGACUGCCCUAUGGGUUGUAAACUUCUUUUAUAUGGGAAUAAAAUGUUCCACGUGUGGGCUUUUGUAUGUACCCUAUGAAUAAGGGUCGGCUAACUCCGUGCCAGCAGCCGCGGUAAUACGGAGGAUCCGAGCGUUAUCCGGAUUUAUUGGGUUUAAAGGGAGCGUAGGUGGAUUGUUAAGUCAGUUGUGAAAGUUUGCGGCUCAACCGUAAAAUUGCAGUUGAAACUGGCGGUCUUGAGUGGGCGAGAAGUAGGCGGAAUGCGUGGUGUAGCGGUGAAAUGCAUAGAUAUCAUGCAGAACUCCGAUUGCGAAGGCAGCAUACCGGAGUCCAACUGACGCUGAAGCACGAAAGCGUGGGUAUCGAACAGGAUUAGAUACCCCAGUAGUC